UCCCCGUUGCCGAGGCAGUCUGGUUAGAAAAAUCCAACUAACCAUGAGGGUUGCGCUCGUUGAAGGACUUAACCUAACAUCUCACGACACGAGCUGACGACGACCAUGCAUCACCUGUCACUUGGCUCCAAAAGGCACUCUCUUGUUUCCAAGAGAUUCCAAGGAUGUCAAGUCUUGGUAAGGUUCUUCGCGUACCCUCGAAUUAAACCACACGCUCCACCGCUUGUGCGGGUCCCCGUCAAUUCCUUUGAGUUUUAGCCUUGCGGCCGUACUCCCCAGGCGGGAUGCUUAACGCGUUAGCUUCGCUACCGAACGGGUCGAUACGUCCAACAGCUAGCAUCCAUCGUUUACGGCGUGGACUAC
Molecule: unclassified non-coding RNA, 363 nt
Filed under: uncultured bacterium
Lineage: Bacteria
Description: contains 16S-23S intergenic spacer region
Source: RNAcentral